Molecule: ribosomal RNA, 403 nt
Filed under: uncultured bacterium
Lineage: Bacteria
Description: bacterial SSU rRNA
Rfam family: Bacterial small subunit ribosomal RNA
Source: RNAcentral
UGGGGAAUUUUGCGCAAUGGGGGCAACCCUGACGCAGCAACGCCGCGUGCGGGACGAAGGCCUUCGGGUCGUAAACCGCUUUCAGCAGGGAAGACAGCGACGGUACCUGCAGAAGAAGCCCCGGCUAACUACGUGCCAGCAGCCGCGGUAAUACGUAGGGGGCGAGCGUUAUCCGGAAUCAUUGGGCGUAAAGAGCGCGUAGGCGGCCCCUCAAGCGGGAUCUCUAAUCCGAGGGCUCAACCCCCGGCCGGAUCCCGAACUGGGGGGCUCGGGUGCGGUAGAGGAGGAUGGAAUUCCCGGUGUAGCGGUGGAAUGCGCAGAUAUCGGGAAGAACACCGAUGGCGAAGGCAGUCCUCUGGGCCGCCACCGACGCUGAGGCGCGAAAGCCGGGGGAGCGAACAGG